RNAcentral lists this ribosomal RNA (431 nucleotides) under uncultured Methylocystis sp. RNAcentral describes it as "bacterial SSU rRNA". It matches the Rfam family "Bacterial small subunit ribosomal RNA", at positions 29 to 507 of the family's 1533-position model. Lineage: Bacteria; Pseudomonadati; Pseudomonadota; Alphaproteobacteria; Hyphomicrobiales; Methylocystaceae. The record is from RNAcentral.
AACGAACGCUGGCGGCAGGCCUAACACAUGCAAGUCGAGCGCCCCGCAAGGGGAGCGGCAGACGGGUGAGUAACGCGUGGGAACGUGCCCUUCGGUUCGGAAUAACUCAGGGAAACUUGAGCUCAUACCGGAUACGUGCGUAAGCAGAAAGAUUUAUCGCCGAAGGAGCGGCCCGCGUCCGAUUAGCUAGUUGGUGAGGUAACGGCUCACCAAGGCGACGAUCGGUAGCUGGUCUGAGAGGAUGAUCAGCCACACUGGGACUGAGACACGGCCCAGACUCCUACGGGAGGCAGCAGUGGGGAAUAUUGGACAAUGGGCGCAAGCCUGAUCCAGCCAUGCCGCGUGAGUGAUGAAGGCCCUAGGGUUGUAAAGCUCUUUCGCCAGGGACGAUAAUGACGGUACCUGGAUAAGAAGCCCCGGCUAACUUCGUG